CUACUGUUUACAUCUUUUUUUUUUUUUCAGCAAUCAGUAUUUAUCUAGGGAAACUAGAGUAGGAAAGUAGCAGAGACAAAAAGAGGCUUAUUUGAGAGGGAAGAGAGAAAGGGGAGGCACUGUAACCUUGCCUUCUCUGAUCAUUAACCUUGCUGGAUAUGCAGCAAACACUUCACUCUGAACUGAGUUACUUGGAAGGCUGAUUCCCUGGGAGACUGUACCAGACCUGAUCUAAUAGUUGCCUAUCUCUGAAGAGCAAUAUGGAUUUUCAGAAAUUAUUGUAUGCCUUAUUUUUCAUUCUGAUGAGUCUACUGCUGAUUAAUGGCCAGAAACCAGCCAACCUCGCACAGCGCCGGAGGAUACACAGACACAACUGCUUCCUCAAGAGGUGCAUACCACUACAUUCAAGAGUUCCAUUUCCAUGAGAACCUAUUUACCAAAGACCCUUAUUCAAGUGGAGUGGGAGAGACUCCAGAUCAGUUCCAUAUUAAGACCACUGAGGAAUCUCAUCAUGAUGUAACAUAGGAUCUGACUCAAAUCUACAGAAAUAAUAUUUAUUUUGAACAGUGUUUAAGUUGUUCUUUGACUUAUAAGUGGAUGUUUCUUAAAUGAGCUGCCCACAAGAAUGGGCACAGACAAGCUCCAACCCAUGUAAUUGGCUGUUAAACUGGCACAGGAGUUGCCGAAAGCAAUGUCCCUCCAUUAAAUUGAUCCAGGAGACAUCUACAGCAACCUGUGACCUAUAUUCCACCAAAACAGACAAGAGAGCAUAUUCUCCAUCACAUUCCAAGGAAGUGAAUGUACAAAGGCUUGCAUUUAUUAUCAAAAUGAAAUGAAGCAUAUCAUAAUAAGGCUCAAUGUCCUGUACCUCAAAAGCUGUGCUUGUUCAUGACACUGUGGUGCACCAAACUACUUGACUCAGAUUUAAAAGAAGGGGAUAAAAUGAAGAAAGACAGAAGAUGGUUUUUGGACAAUCUGGUCAUAUUUCAAAAUAUUGCCCCGUGUGCAAAAAAAGAGAGGACGUUGAUAUAGUACAAUGAAAGGGUGUAAUAUCUAUUGUUUUAUAUGCUCUCCUAACAGUGCAUGGAAAUCUGUUGUAAUAUUUCUAAAGGUCUCAGCAAUCACUCAUUGUUAAUGAACUAAAAUUACCAGCAUAAACUUUCAGUAGACUCUUGGAGCUGUAGUUUCACAUCAUCUUAUGUUAUUGAUUGCUUUAUCAGGUUGUUGUCCCAUAUCAAGCUUUUUUCUAAAGGGCCAUGCGUAAUAAUUAACAUAACAGUUACAAGGUCUCAGCAUGUGAUGUUUCUGUAUCUGUCUGGGGCAAUUCAUAUGUUAAUUCAUGUGAGAAGAAGGUAGUGAGCUGUAAUAUAUAGAGACAGAAGAGGAGAUCUGCAUUCAACCAUAUUAAUGUAUUAAGGGCAGAGACACACGCUGCAAUUCUGGGAUAUUAGUCAUCCGGCGACAAAUGUCUCUCGAACUGCUUUCCCGCCGGCUAGAAUGAAAAUCGCUGGCGGGAUGGCACUCGGAGUACUUCAUUUUCCGAAAUUUCCUUUCGUGCGACUUCGGAAAACGAAUCGCUCAGAGUGCCAUCCCGCUGACGAUUUUCAUUCUUAGCUGGGAAGGUAGGGGAAGCAGAGAUUAGUCUCCCAGAAGAAGAGGCGGGCGACUAAUCUCCCUGAGAUUAGUGUGUCUGCCCUAAAGGACAUUAAAACAUUUUGUACAGAAAGCUACUAAGAAAAUGCUCUCCCCUUUAAACAAAACUGGGAUUUAGUCCCUGCUGUAUACUUCAACAUGUUUAGUGGUGUGCACAACUUUCCCCUUGCUAUAAGACUAAUGGCACACAGGUCAUUUUCUCCACUAUUACAAAAAAACUUGAUCCACUGACUUCCGCUCCCUGUAUGUGAGUGUACUAACAGGCAUGGGAUAAACCAGUCAGCACACACACAUGCAAAUUCUGUUUUAGCCAGUUAAUUUAAUGUUUAAAUGGAAAAUGCUUCAUUUAAUAGAAUGUGCCCCCUAUUUUUUCCACUUAGGCAUGUUUCUGUUGCAAAAGGGAUCCAGUAUUAAGAUAUUAUAUAUGUUAAAGUACCAUGGGUGUUUACUCUCCUUAUAUUUACAUUUCUUAUCUAUACUGUGCUCUGAUUUUAUUUAGUUUAUGCAGCAGCACAAAAUAGACAAAAAGUGGCCAUGGGUUUGGUGUAUAUUGCCAGGCAAUUUGGCACGUUUCAACCAAUAUUACUUCUGUAGGUCUUAAGGCGGCCAUAGACGCACAGAUAAUAUCGUACAAAACGAAUUUUCGUAUGAUAUCCAGUGCGUGUAUGGUGGGAAAAGAGCCGAAUUUUGAUUGGGUGCCUUUGAAGGCACCCAAACAUCGGCCAUUGUUAGUGUUGAAUCUUCAGAUACAGGUUGAAUUCUAUUGUUCCUACCUGUAUAUCUGACGAUUCAGCUCUUCAUGUGCAUAUGCAAAUUAGGAUUCGGUUCGGCCGGGCAGAAGAAUUCGGCUGAAUCCGAAUCCUGAUGAAAAAGGCCGAAUCCGGCCCGAAUCCCGAACCAAAUCCUGGAUUCGGUGCAUCCCUAGUGAUAGCUGUUAAUAUGUCCAGCCUGAGAAUCCUGUCUGCUAGGACAGUGGAUGGAGUCAUACCCCCAGAUGAACUUAUUCACCUGAUGGAUAAGUGCAAUUUGAAUACUCACAUGUAAAUCCAAAUCAUAGAGUACCAUGAAAUUAGGCCCAGGUGUAACCACCUUAUGCUACCCAGCUGGGCUGUGUUUCAUGUAGUCUAAUGCCUACUUUUAAAGUAAACCAAUAGUACCUGCAUUCUUCUAGAACAAGCAAGUGGUGCUAUUAAUGUGUUGACUUGGGCAACCACACUCAAUAAUGAUAAAAACCAGGGCCAUGUAAAUCAAACAGAAAACAAUGUUUGGUUAAUUCAGUAACCAUUGUGAGUAAUAAAAUUAAAUUCAUUAAAGUAGAAUAAAUGCCACUUGAAAAUAAAUGAAGCCACACUGGGCAGUUUCCAGAUACAAAUAAAACCAUUUUAACUAUUUUCCAGUCACACUGUUUGAUUCACAAACACAAUUUAACUACAACUUUUUUUUUCAGACAUAUGACAAUAUGACAAACUUCCCUUCUCCUUGUUUGUUCUAAGUGGGGAAACUAAAGCUCUCAAUGAUAUUUGAAUUUUACUGAGAAAUUUGUAAAUACACAUAAGCAAAAUACAGUGUUCUGCAUGUUCUACAGUGACUUUAUUCUGUGUAAAUCUCCAUGGUAGGUUGUAUUUGUAAUUAUAUUACUGUCUAUAUAGUACCUGUAUGUCUAUUUCUUUAAGGGGAACAUGCACUUCAGAUAUAUUUUUGUGUAAUUGCAAUAAACGCUAUGUAUCUUUUUUUAUGAUCCA
Xenopus laevis (African clawed frog) is the source of this 3395-nucleotide RNA transcript. It is a transcript of the gene named apelin receptor early endogenous ligand, with no coding region annotated. NCBI's taxonomy places the organism in Eukaryota, Metazoa, Chordata, Amphibia, Anura, Pipidae. The record is from RefSeq and is a predicted model, not a curated record. The transcript is spliced from 4 exons.